This 497-nucleotide ribosomal RNA is filed under the name uncultured bacterium. RNAcentral describes it as "partial 16S ribosomal RNA". It matches the Rfam family "Bacterial small subunit ribosomal RNA", at positions 28 to 507 of the family's 1533-position model. The record is from RNAcentral.
GAUGAACGCUGGCGGCGUGCCUAAUACAUGCAAGUCGAGCGAACGGACGAGAAGCUUGCUUCUCUGAUGUUAGCGGCGGACGGGUGAGUAACACGUGGAUAACCUCCCUAUAAGACUGGGAUAACUUCGGGAAACCGGAGCUAAUACCGGAUAAUAUUUUGAACCGCAUGGUUCAAAAGUGAAAGACGGUCUUGAUGUCACUUAUAGAUGGAUCCGCGCUGCAUUAGCUAGUUGGUAAGGUAACGGCUUACCAAGGCAACGAUGCAUAGCCGACCUGAGAGAGUGAUCGGCCACACUGGAACUGAGACACGGUCCAGACGCCUACGGGAGGCAGCAGUAGGGAAUCUUCCGCAAUAGGCGAAAGCCUGACGGAGCAACGCCGCGUGAGUGAUGAAGGUCUUCGGAUCGUAAAACUCUGUUAUGAGGGAAGAACAUAUGUGUAAGUAACUGUGCACAUCGUGACGGUACCUAAUCAGAAAGCCACGGCUAACUACGUG